AAGACUAUCCUUCCAGCGAUCACUUCUAUAGUUUGUGACUAGACAGGUUUCUCUGAACGUGUAGGGCACCCGAAACCACGAGAAAGAGAUGGAAUGUGUUCUGCUGAGUGUGAAGCCAGCUCUUGGUGUUGCUUCAGUAACUGCCAUUUGCCAUUGAUGACCAUUCUUCUCUCUCUUUUGAGAGAGCCAGAGGGAAAGAAUACCGUCUAAGUGGA
Small nucleolar RNA from Phyllostomus discolor (pale spear-nosed bat), 215 nucleotides. RefSeq annotates it as small nucleolar RNA U3. The transcript has a single exon. The record is from RefSeq and is a predicted model, not a curated record. NCBI's taxonomy places the organism in Eukaryota, Metazoa, Chordata, Mammalia, Chiroptera, Phyllostomidae.